GUUGUGCUAAUUGUAUUAAAAAUCUAAAGAAAGUUUAUAAAAAUUAUGGAAUGGGUUAUAAGGGUUCUUAAACCAAACUUGAGGGUUGAUUGUGUAACAUUUUAAUAACAUGUAAAAUAAGAUUAAUUAGUAAAAUUAAAACCCAGAAUGUUCUGGGUGUUGGUCGCGACCAGAGAAGGGGGAAAGGGGAAGAACCCUAGCUUGCUCAAUUAACUACAAAUUCAGUGCAAUUAUGGAGGAUUCAUGUUACAAAUCGAAUGCUAAUGUCUAAAUACUCACUAAUCUCAGUGAUCGAAAGAAGAAGGAGCUAGUUCCGGAUCACAAACAAAGUC
This 332-nucleotide long non-coding RNA is filed under the name Helianthus annuus (common sunflower). Its description in RNAcentral is "hypothetical non coding rna". Lineage: Eukaryota; Viridiplantae; Streptophyta; Magnoliopsida; Asterales; Asteraceae. The record is from RNAcentral.